RNAcentral lists this ribosomal RNA (253 nucleotides) under uncultured bacterium. RNAcentral's name for it is "partial 16S ribosomal RNA". It matches the Rfam family "Bacterial small subunit ribosomal RNA", at positions 524 to 776 of the family's 1533-position model. The record is from RNAcentral.
GACAGAGGUCCCGAGCGUUAGGCGGAAUCACUGGGCUUAAAGCGUGUGUAGGCGGAUUGGUAAGUACCUUGUGAAAUCCCACGGCUUAACCGUGGAACUGCUUGGUAUACUGCUUAUCUUGGGCCACUUAGGGGCCACCGGAACAAACGGUGGAGCGGUGAAAUGCGUAGAUAUCGUUUGGAACGCCAAUGGUGAAAACAGGUAGCUGGGAGUGUGCCGACGCUGAGACACGAAAGCCAGGGGAGCGAACGGG